UACGUAGGGUGCGAGCGUUGUCCGGAAUUAUUGGGCGUAAAGGGCUCGUAGGCGGUUUGUCGCGUCGGGAGUGAAAACCUUGGGCUUAACUCAGGGCUUGCUUUCGAUACGGGCUGGCUAGAGUGUGGUAGGGGAGAUCGGAAUUCCUGGUGUAGCGGUGAAAUGCGCAGAUAUCAGGAGGAACACCGGUGGCGAAGGCGGAUCUCUGGGCCAUUACUGACGCUGAGGAGCGAAAGCGUGGGGAGCGAACAGA
This 253-nucleotide ribosomal RNA is filed under the name uncultured bacterium. RNAcentral describes it as "partial 16S ribosomal RNA". It matches the Rfam family "Bacterial small subunit ribosomal RNA", at positions 524 to 776 of the family's 1533-position model. The record is from RNAcentral.